GCACCCUUAGCUCAAUUGGAUAGAGCGUCGGUCUACGGAAUCGAAGGUUGGGAGUUCGAGCCUCUUAGGGUGCGCCA
This 77-nucleotide transfer RNA is filed under the name Clostridiales bacterium. RNAcentral's name for it is "tRNA-Arg". It matches the Rfam family "tRNA". Rfam says of the family: Transfer RNA (tRNA) molecules are approximately 80 nucleotides in length. Their secondary structure includes four short double-helical elements and three loops (D, anti-codon, and T loops). The record is from RNAcentral. Lineage: Bacteria; Bacillati; Bacillota; Clostridia; Eubacteriales.